UCGACGGAGCACCCCUGAACGAGGUUUCGGCCGAAGUGAAGGGAAUGCUUAGUGGCGGACGGGUGAGUAACGCGUGAGCAACCUGCCUUGAAGUGGGGGACAACAGUUGGAAACGACUGCUAAUACCGCAUAAUAUAUCUGAGUCGCAUGGCUUGGAUAUCAAAGAUUUAUCGCUUCGAGAUGGGCUCGCGUCUGAUUAGGUAGUUGGCGGGGUAACGGCCCACCAAGCCGACGAUCAGUAGCCGGACUGAGAGGUUGAACGGCCACAUUGGGACUGAGAUACGGCCCAGACUCCUACGGGAGGCAGCAGUGGGGAAUAUUGGGCAAUGGGCGCAAGCCUGACCCAGCAAUGCCGCGUGAAGGAAGAAGGCUUUCGGGUUGUAAACUUCUUUGACAGGGGAAGAGCAGAAGACGGUACCCUGAAAACAAGCCACGGCUAACUACGUGCCAGCAGCCGCGGUAAUACGUAGGUGGCAAGCGUUGUCCGGAUCCACUGGGUGUAAAGGGCGUGUAGCCGGGAAGGCAAGUCAGAUGUGAAAUCUGGAGGCUCAACCUCCAAAUUGCAUUUGAAACUGUUUUUCUUGAGUACUGGAGAGGCAGACGGAAUUCCUUGUGUAGCGGUGAAAUGCGUAGAUAUAAGGAGGAACACCAGUGGCGAAGGCGGUCUGCUGGACAGCAACUGACGGUGAGGCGCGAAAGCGUGGGGAGCAAACAGGAUUAGAUACCCUGGUAGUCCACGCUGUAAACGAUCAAUACUAGGUGUGCGGGGACUGACCCCCUGCGUGCCGCAGCUAACGCAAUAAGUAUUGCACCUGGGGAGUACGAUCGCAAGGUUGAGACUCAAAGGAAUUGACGGGGGCCCGCACAAGCGGUGGAUUAUGUGGUUUAAUU
Molecule: ribosomal RNA, 891 nt
Filed under: uncultured bacterium
Lineage: Bacteria
Description: bacterial SSU rRNA
Rfam family: Bacterial small subunit ribosomal RNA
Source: RNAcentral